AUGACGCCGUGGCAGCCAUCCCACACCUCCCCGUCGUUUCCCUCGGCGGAUAAGAGCAACCCCCGGCCCCCUCUUCCUCUCCCCCAAACCCUAGCCUCCUUUUUCCCUCCCACGCGCCGUCACUCUCGCCCCGCACCCACCCGAGCUCCUCCAUCGCCGCGUCGUCAUCGAUCCCGUGGCCACCGGCCAUCCCUCGUCGCCGAGCUUAGUCCAGGAGCACCACCGUCCUCUUCCUCAUCGACUGCAAGCCUCGAUUCGAGCGGGGCCACCCCGUACGCUCGCCAUCGAGGCCGUCCCCACCGCGUACAUCGCCGGUGUCCGCCGUCGUCGCCGCGACUCCAGUCCGCCUCCGGCCUCCCCGACCUCGCCUACUUCGACUACAUGGGCGAUAUCGAGCUGGAAGCCACCGGGACGCCCGCUGCUUCCCCGUCCUCAACCUCCAUCCGUCUCGGUCGCCGCUGCCGUCGCCAACGCCGGCCACCUCUACUGCUACUAAACCAUCGACGGGACCCCUUGCGCUCCCUACACCCCGAGGCCGAUGACGCCGCUGUGAUCGACUACGUCACCGACGAUCCCUCGUUCUUGUCUGAGCAACCAGGAGCCAGAUGCCAACGCCGAUGCCUACUACUACGUGGAGACCGAUGA
Molecule: ribosomal RNA, 645 nt
Filed under: Triticum aestivum (bread wheat)
Lineage: Eukaryota; Viridiplantae; Streptophyta; Magnoliopsida; Poales; Poaceae
Description: partial small subunit ribosomal RNA
Source: RNAcentral